This 495-nucleotide ribosomal RNA is filed under the name uncultured bacterium. RNAcentral's name for it is "partial 16S ribosomal RNA". It matches the Rfam family "Bacterial small subunit ribosomal RNA", at positions 28 to 507 of the family's 1533-position model. The record is from RNAcentral.
GACGAACGCUGGCGGCGUGCCUAAUACAUGCCAGUAGAACGCUGAAGGAGGAGCUUGCUUCUCUGGAUGAGUUGCGAACGGGUGAGUAACGCGUAGGUAACCUGCCUGGUAGCGGGGGAUAACUAUUGGAAACGAUAGCUAAUACCGCAUAAGAGUAGAUGUCGCAUGACAUUUGCUUAAAAGGUGCAAUUGCAUCACUACCAGAUGGACCUGCGUUGUAUUAGCUAGUUGGUGAGGUAACGGCUCACCAAGGCAACGAUACAUAGCCGACCUGAGAGGGUGAUCGGCCACACUGGGACUGAGACACGGCCCAGACUCCUACGGGAGGCAGCAGUAGGGAAUCUUAGGCAAUGGACGGAAGUCUGACCGAGCAACGCCGCGUGAGUGAAGAAGGUUUUCGGAUCGUAAAGCUCUGUUGUAAGAGAAGAACGAGUGUGAGAGUGGAAAGUUCACACUGUGACGGUAUCUUACCAGAAAGGGACGGCUAACUACGUG